This 2444-nucleotide long non-coding RNA is filed under the name Setaria viridis. Its description in RNAcentral is "long non-coding RNA (SVIR_LNC006232)". The record is from RNAcentral. Lineage: Eukaryota; Viridiplantae; Streptophyta; Magnoliopsida; Poales; Poaceae.
UUGAACAGUGCGGCAUACUCCAGUGCAAUUAAUCAAAAUAAGAGGAAAGAGGCUGUUCCUCGCCACUCUGGUGAAAGCAACCCUGAUACUAAAUUGGCUAAAGCAAUUGUACCCAGCAAUUUGGAUAUGAUUAGAAGUUUGGAUAGCAAGGCAGCAAAACAAGGGAAGAAAACUGAUGCACUGUCAUUUCUUCGGAAUCCUCAAAUGACUUCACUUCUUCAGCUAAGAGAUAUUGCUUUAUCUGGUGGAAUUGAUCUGAACAAAUCAGUUCCAAGAGCAGUUCGCACAUCAGCAGUUCGAUCUUUGAACUCAUCUAGGGCCGUUUCCCCUUUCUCUCGCAAGCCUAGUCCACCACGUUCAACCACACCAGUCCCAACAACUCAUGGCCUUUCUAUUGCUAAAACUGCUGCUGACAGUCUUGCAAAAACUAACGAGAUGUUAAAUCAAGAGGUUGAAAGACUCCGUGCACAGGUAUUGAGGUUGAUUUAUAUGCAAGUACGUACCUUUGUGUUGUUACGCGGACAAACAAUAAAAUUUGUGCACCUUUUUAGGUUGAUAAUCUGAGGCACCGCUGUGAACUUCAAGAACUUGAGUUGCAGAAAUCAGCAAAGAAAGUACAAGAGGCCAUGACACUGGUUUCAGAGGAAUCUGCAAAGUCUAAAGCUGCUAAGGAAGUCAUAAAGUCCCUAACAGCACAGGUAAUACCGACUGGCGUAGUACAUUUAUGCCUUCCUAGCGAUAAUGUUGCUUUCCCGUCGUAUUCAUUGCAAAUAAAUAUAAUUAGCUAUUAAGAUUCCCAAGACACUUUCUUCAUGCAAACGGUAUUCUGGUGCUGGUUUGAUUCUGUCAACAAUCAUAUUAACAGAAGGCGUAUAUUUCCUAUUGCAAGAACAGCAAUGGCUUCAUGUCAGCAAAUUACACAUUCAGAAAAAUGCAGUACUUAUAUAUCUGACCCAAAAUAAAUUUGUGUACUCUGUACCUAGCUUGUCAAAAUAUCGAUGCGAGCUUAUUUUAUCCUGGCAAAGUGCCAACUUUCUUUGGUUGUUUAACUGAGAUUGCUUUCUCUGGUGAUUGUUGCAUGUACCUUUUGCUGUGGCUUGUUUAGCUCAAGGAUAUGGCUGAAAGACUACCUCCAGAUCAGGGAGCCUAUGAUGGCAGUGAAGCCAAACAAGUGCACGUUCCCAAUGGCAUCGAGAUGUAUGCUUCUAUUUACACUAGCAUGAAUGGUAUUCAUCAGCCACGAAAUGAGUCUGUCAGUGCUGUCAGCACACCGAGCCUGAAUAUGGGACGAGCGUUGCAUCCAAAUGGAAUCUCAAGUCAACAUAAAUCACCAGGAAGUAUUAGUGAAAAUAGCGAAGUGAGUGCUCACAGCCAUAGGGUUUCAGGCCCUCCCGACGCUGAAAAGUUGAAUAGAAGGGGACAUAUCAGUAGUGAUGAGAUGCUGAGUGCAAGCAGUAGAGCAGAUGAUAGCAGCAGCCAGGAUGGUAGGUCCCUUUUUAAUGGUGAGGAUGGCUACAAAUCUCGAAGCGUGGUAUCAAUUCCCAGCAACCAAGUCCAGGCUGAGUGGAUUGAGCAGUAUGAGCCAGGUGUAUACAUAACACUGACAACUCUUCGUGAUGGGACCCGAGAUCUAAAGCGCGUACGUUUCAGGUAAACAAUUGUCUUCCGCCUUCUUUCUUAGUGCUGCCAAGGUUAUUUCUUUUUGUUUAUUUCAUUUAUAAUUAGAUGCAUUACUAGUCGACUAAAUUAGUAAAAAUUGGAUUUGACAAAUCACCUUAUAGCUGGAAUGUAGCGCUGCAGAUCACCUCUGUUAGCAUAGAGCAGGCACAGUAUGUAGAACACAAUAUAGAAGUCUGUUUCCCCAUAAAGAGUAUCAAAUGGCACAAAAACUUAACCAAUCAAUUGACCCAGCGGUAUGAAAUGGCACAAAAUAUAGUGGAUCUUGUCAUGAACCAUGAAAGGGUUUCUUGCUUCUGUGCACACCUGUUUGCACUUAGCAGCGACUAAUUUGCCACUGUCUUUCUUCCUCGUGUCAUAAAUUUUCUGUGCAGUCGAAGGCGGUUUGGGGAGCAUCAAGCAGAGAGCUGGUGGAAUGAGAACCGCGACAAGGUGUACGAGAAGUACAACGUAAGGAGCUCCGAGCGAGUCUCGUCGGCAUCCUCAAUCCGGUCAGCUCGAUGACCUGCUACUUCCUGGCAGUUGCCGGAGGGGGAGGGUACGAAGCGCCAAAGCCCGUCGUGGCAAGGCCUUGAGAAAUUCUUUUUGGCCGUGUAAUGUCGAUAAUUCUUGUUACUACUUAUUGUUUUGAGAUUUGAGUCAUAUAAUUAUCCGUCCAAGGGCUGGUUAGCUAGCCCUGUUCCGAUGUAAUGUACAUAGAGCUGUGGUGCAGACUAGCAGAGGGAGGAACAGCCCAUUGGUCUUUGUUGUAGCCAAUGCAGGUGUAA